This 243-nucleotide ribosomal RNA is filed under the name uncultured Actinomycetales bacterium. RNAcentral's name for it is "partial 16S ribosomal RNA". It matches the Rfam family "Bacterial small subunit ribosomal RNA", at positions 88 to 334 of the family's 1533-position model. The record is from RNAcentral. Lineage: Bacteria; Bacillati; Actinomycetota; Actinomycetes; Actinomycetales.
UACUCGAGUGGCGAACGGGUGGGUAACACGUGGGUGAUCUGCCCUGCACUUCGGGAUAAGCUUGGGAAACUGGGUCUAAUACCGGAUAGGAGCCAUCUUUAGUGUGGUGGUUGGAAAGUUUUUUCGGUGUAGGAUGAGCUCGCGGCCUAUCAGCUUGUUGGUGGGGUAAUGGCCUACCAAGGCGGCGACGGGUAGCCGGCCUGAGAGGGUGUACGGCCACAUUGGGACUGAGAUACGGCCCAG